Molecule: ribosomal RNA, 1505 nt
Filed under: uncultured Bordetella sp.
Lineage: Bacteria; Pseudomonadati; Pseudomonadota; Betaproteobacteria; Burkholderiales; Alcaligenaceae
Description: partial 16S-23S ribosomal RNA intergenic spacer
Rfam family: Bacterial small subunit ribosomal RNA
Source: RNAcentral
GCAGGGUUUGAUCAUGGCUCAGAUUGAACGCUGGCGGGAUGUUUUACACAUGCAAGUCGAACGGCAGCACGGGACUUCGGUCUGGGUGGCGAGUGGCGAACGGGUGAGUAAUGUAUCGGAACGUGCCUAGUAAGCGGGGAUAACUACGCGAAAGGUAGCUAAUACCGCACAUUGCCCUUCGUGGGGAAAGCGGGGACCUCGGGAGCCCGCUGCACUAUUAGAGCGGCCGAUAUCGGAUUACGCAGUUGGUGGGGUAACGGCUCACCAAGGCGACGAUCCGUAGCUGGUUUGAGAGGACGACCAGCCACACCGGGACUGAGCACGGCCCAGACUCCUACGGGAGGCAGCAGUGGGAAUUUUGGACAAUGGGAACCCUGAUCCAGCCAUCCCCAAGUGUGCGAUGAAGGCCUUCGGGUUGUAAAGCAACCCUUUGGCAAGAAAGAAACGGCACGGAUAAUACCCCGUGCAACUGACGGUACCUGGUAAGCAACUCGGCUAACUACGCCAGCAGCCGCGGUAAUACGUAGGGUGCAAGGCAUCGGAAUUACUGGGCGUAAAGCGUGCAGGCGGUUCGGAAAGAAAGAUGAAACCCAGAGCUUAACUUUGGAACUGCAUUUUUAACUACCGAGCUAGAGUGUGUCAGAGGGAGGUGGAAUUCCGCGUGGGUCAGCAGGAAAUGCGCAGAUAUGCGGAGGAACACCGAUGGCGAAGGCAGCCUUGAUAACACUGACGCCCAUGCACGAAAGCGUGGGGAGCAAACAGGAUUAGAUACCCCGGGUAGUCCACGCCCUAAACGAUGUCAAUCAGCUGUUGGGGCCUUCUGGCCUUGGUAGCAGCUAACGCGUAGUUGACCGCCUGGGGAGUACGGUCGCAAGAUUAAAAACUCCUGUGCGCUGAAUUGACGGGACUCGCACAAGCGGUGGAUGAUGUGGAUUAUUCGAUGCAACGCGAAAAACCUUACCUACCCUUGACAUGUCUGGAAUCCCGAAGAGAUUUGGGAGUGCUCGCAAGAGAACCGGAACACAGGUGCUGCAUGGCUGUCGUCAGCUCGUGUCGUGAGAUGUUGGGUUAAGUCCCGCAACGAGCGCAACCCUUGUCAUUAGUUGCUACGAAAGGCACUCUAAUGAGACUGCCGGUGACAAACCGGAGAAGGUGGGGAUGACGUCAAGUCCUCAUGGCCCUUAUGGGUAGGGCUUCACACGUCAUACAAUGGUCGGGACAGAGGGCUCGCCAACCCGCGAGGGGGAGCUGCUAAUCCCCAGAAACCCGAUCGUGAAGUCCGGAUCGCAGUCUGCAACUCGACUGCGUGAAGUCGGAAUCGCUAGUAACGUGGAUCAAAGCGUCGCGGUGAAUACGUCUCUUCGGGUCUUGCACACCGCCCGUCACACCAUGGGAGUGGGUUUUACCAGAAGUAGUUAGCCUAACCGUAAGGAGGGCGAUUACCAGCACGGUAGGAUUCAUGACUGGGGUGAAGCUGCAACAAGGUAACUCCAGCCACACUGAUG